AUUGAACGCUGGCGGCAUGCUUUACACAUGCAAGUCGAACGGUAACAGGCCUUCGGGUGCUGACGAGUGGCGAACGGGUGAGUAAUGCAUCGGAACGUGCCCAAUCGUGGGGGAUAACGUAGCGAAAGUUACGCUAAUACCGCAUAAGCCCUGAGGGGGAAAGUGGGGGACCGCAAGGCCUCACGCGAAUGGAGCGGCCGAUGUCAGAUUAGCUAGUUGGUGGGGUAAAGGCCCACCAAGGCGACGAUCUGUAGCGGGUCUGAGAGGAUGAUCCGCCACACUGGGACUGAGACACGGCCCAGACUCCUACGGGAGGCAGCAGUGAGGAAUAUUGGUCAAUGGAGGCAACUCUGAACCAGCCAUGCCGCGUGUAGGAAGAAAUGCCCUAUGGGUUGUAAACUACUUUUAUUGGGUAAGAAACCGUUACUACGUGUAGAAGGAC
RNAcentral lists this ribosomal RNA (442 nucleotides) under uncultured bacterium. Its description in RNAcentral is "bacterial SSU rRNA". It matches the Rfam family "Bacterial small subunit ribosomal RNA", at positions 30 to 473 of the family's 1533-position model. The record is from RNAcentral.